AGAUGAUCGUGGAGGCUCCGGAAAGUCAAGUAGUUGGCUACGUGCAGGAGAACUGCAGCAUCUUUCGCUCCUUAUUUACUAUCCUCGAUGCCCAUAAAGAGCCUGUGCUUAAAGUGGGCGGCGUCAAAACCUGGUCAAUUCUUCCCUGCUGUCCAGCGAAAAAAGCUUUCGGGAUUGAAACUAAAGACCGAUCCCAUGUGAUUGGAUAUAUAAUCUUCGAUUCUGUGCCAGAAGUGGCGAAACGUUUGCAGCGUUUCAUAGUCGCCUAUCCCAAGGACCUCGACGUUGGAGUUAAAGCCACUCUCAUUGGCUGCGCAAUGCUGCUAAGAUACAUGUUUUACGACGAAACGUCCCAGGACUGCGCCACCUGCUGCGAUUGCGAUUUGUGCAGUUGUGAUUGUUGCACCUGUGAUUGCUGGUGGAAGAUGGGGACGUUGGGUCUGCGCGACGCACUCCGCUCUUAGUCCCCAAUAGACAAUUUUUCACUAGCGCCACGUCUUUAGGAAUGUAGUCGUGGAAGUUCAAGUAAAAGGAAGUA
Ornithodoros turicata is the source of this 538-nucleotide long non-coding RNA. RefSeq lists it as uncharacterized. The transcript has 3 exons. Lineage: Eukaryota; Metazoa; Arthropoda; Arachnida; Ixodida; Argasidae. The record is from RefSeq and is a predicted model, not a curated record.